CAGCCGCCACGGUAAUACGUAGGUGGCAAGCGUCGUCCGGAAUUAUUGGGCGUAAAGGGCUCGCAGGCGGUUUCUUAAGUCUGAUGUGAAAGCCCCCGGCUCAACCGGGGAGGGUCACUGGAAACUGGGUAACUUGAGUGCAGAAGAGGAGAGUGGAAUUCCACGUGUAGCGGUGAAAUGCGUAGAGAUGUGGAGGAACACCAGUGGCGAAGGCGACUCUCUGGUCUGUAACUGACGCUGAGGAGCGAAAGCGUGGGGAGCAAACAGGAUUAGAUACCCCAGUAGUCCCUGUCUCUUAUAC
RNAcentral lists this ribosomal RNA (301 nucleotides) under uncultured bacterium. RNAcentral describes it as "partial 16S ribosomal RNA". It matches the Rfam family "Bacterial small subunit ribosomal RNA", at positions 509 to 807 of the family's 1533-position model. The record is from RNAcentral.